CCAGACUCCUACGGGAGGCAGCAGUGGGGAAUAUUGCACAAUGGGGGGAACCCUGAUGCAGCGACGCCGCGUGAGUGAAGAAGUAUUUCGGUAUGUAAAGCUCUGUCAGCAGGGAAGAAGAAAGACGGUACCUGACCAAGAAGCCCCGGCUAACUACGUGCCAGCAGCCGCGGUAAUACGUAGGGGGCAAGCGUUAUCCGGAUUUACUGGGUGUAAAGGGAGCGUAGACGGCAGGGCAAGUCUGGAGUGAAAGGCGGGGGCUCAACCCCCGGACUGCUCUGGAAACUGUACGGCUGGAGUGCAGGAGAGGUAAGUGGAAUUCCUAGUGCAGCGGUGAAAUGCGUAGAUAUUAGGAGGAACGCCAGUGGCGAAGGCGGCUUACUGGACUGUAACUGACGUUGAGGCUCGAAAGCGUGGGGAGCAAACAGGAUUAGAUACCCGUGUAA
Molecule: ribosomal RNA, 446 nt
Filed under: uncultured bacterium
Lineage: Bacteria
Description: bacterial SSU rRNA
Rfam family: Bacterial small subunit ribosomal RNA
Source: RNAcentral